This 1219-nucleotide long non-coding RNA is filed under the name Rhinopithecus bieti (black snub-nosed monkey). Its description in RNAcentral is "lncRNA (ENSRBIG00000045352.1)". The record is from RNAcentral. Lineage: Eukaryota; Metazoa; Chordata; Mammalia; Primates; Cercopithecidae.
UUUUUUUUUUUUUUUUUUUUUUUUUUUUUUUUUUUUUUUUUUUUUUAAUGUAAAGAUUUCUGGGCCCACCCCACCGAGGUAAUCAGAAGAAGGACCUGGGAAUCUGGGGGUCACCCUGUGUCUUUAAUUACUGCUCAGCUGGUUUGUUACUGACUCUGUGACCUUGAUUGUGUUACUUAAUCUGUUUGAGCCUCAGGUUUUAUCUGUGAAGUGGGGAUAAUAUCCAAAUCAUAGAUUUAUUGACAAACUUCUACAUGACUAAACUUGUUCAGCACAUGACUAGUGCUCAAUACUUGGAAGGUAUAUUGCCCACAAAUGUGUGAUCUGUACACUCAAGCUGACUGAUGUGUUUUCUUAUAAGGACCUGUCCCUACCCCCAACGUUUUGGUGAAGCAGCCGGACUGUCAUGGGAUAUGUAUGUGUAUGCACAUUUUAGCUCAUGCAUAGUUGUCACCUUUAUAUGAUUUCCCCUCCUCCGCCUUUUAGGCCAUAAAAUAGAUUAGAAUUGGCACAUUUGGAAGCUAGGCCCUGUGCUCUUGGACCUAGAACUGUCCAUCAGGCCUACUGGCAAAGCGGGGCAUUUACCAAUCUGAAGUCUGCUUCAUCCUCCACCCCACCCCCACCUUUUUUGGCUCUUUCACCUUCCUUGCUUUAUAGAUGGCAAACAUUUCCUAAAGAAACCGCUGGUCAGACCAAUGAAGCCACAGGACAAAAAGUUAUCUUCGAAAGGGAACGACAAGAAGGAAGAAAAAGUCAGCAUUCCUAGAGAGAACCAUUCUCUGCUUUCAAUAGGACAGAAGAGCUCCUUGGCACUGGAUGCCUCCGGGUCUGGUUGAGAGAGGAAUUGGUUAGGAGACUGUUCUGAGGAUACGCAGACAUCAUCCAAAGCUUCCUACAUUCAGAUGAGGACAGAGGUUGGGCCAGAGCAUGGCAUGCUUGUUACCUAAGGACGGUUUUGACCAUGUGAGCAAAUCACAGAAGUUCCUGAGCCAAUACUUGUCAAACCUGGUACUGUAUCAAGAUCCUCAUGACCUGUACCAAAUGCAGUCUGGAAGUGUGGUUGGCUGCUCAAAUCAGGAGUCAAGUGUUCAUAUACAAACCCCUGCACAAACCCUCCCCUACCACUCCAGUUCUCCCACAGAGUCUGGAGUACAGUCAGCACUGAGUUUUUUUAUUUGGGGCCCAGAUUUUCUUCCCGGACCUUGUUAUUCCCUCUCCC